This 502-nucleotide ribosomal RNA is filed under the name uncultured bacterium. RNAcentral describes it as "partial 16S rRNA". The stretch from base 1 to 412 matches the Rfam family "Bacterial small subunit ribosomal RNA", at positions 975 to 1387 of the family's 1533-position model. The record is from RNAcentral.
CUGGCCUUGACAUGCCNGGNAACGAAGCAGAGAUGCAUUAGGUGCCCGAAAGGGAAAGUGGACACAGGUGCUGCAUGGCUGUCGUCAGCUCGUGUCGUGAGAUGUUGGGUUAAGUCCCGCAACGAGCGCAACCCUUGCCAAUAAUUGCCAUCAUUUAGUUGGGCACUUUAUUGGGACUGCCGGUGACAAACCGGAGGAAGGUGGGGAUGACGUCAAGUCCUCAUGGCCUUAUGGCCAGGGCUUCACACGUAAUACAAUGGUCGGUACAGAGGGUUGCAACCCGCGAGGGGGAGCCAAUCCCAGAAAGCCGAUCGGAGUCCGGAUUGGAGCUGNAACUCGACUGNAUGAAGUCGGAAUCGCUAGUAAUCGCGGAUCAACAUGUCGCGGGGAAAACGAUNCCNGGCCUUGNACACCCGGCCGCACAACAUGGGAGNGGGGUCUAACAAAAGNAGGNAGCUAACCGNANGGGGACGCUUAACACGGAGGAUNAUGAAUGGGGGGG